UACGAAGGGGGCUAGCGUUGCUCGGAUUCAUUGGGCAUAAAGGGUGCGUAGGUGGCGCGGUAAGUCGGGUGUGAAAUUUCGGAGCUUAACUCCGAAACUGCAUUCGAUACUGCCGUGCUUGAGGACUGGAGAGGAGACUGGAAUUUACGGUGUAGCAGUGAAAUGCGUAGAGAUCGUAAGGAAGACCAGUGGCGAAGGCGGGUCUCUGGACAGUUCCUGACACUGAGGCACGAAGGCCAGGGGAGCAAACGGG
RNAcentral lists this ribosomal RNA (253 nucleotides) under uncultured bacterium. RNAcentral's name for it is "partial 16S ribosomal RNA". It matches the Rfam family "Bacterial small subunit ribosomal RNA", at positions 524 to 776 of the family's 1533-position model. The record is from RNAcentral.